RNAcentral lists this ribosomal RNA (686 nucleotides) under Inocybe mixtilis. RNAcentral describes it as "eukaryotic LSU rRNA". It matches the Rfam family "Eukaryotic large subunit ribosomal RNA", at positions 1 to 653 of the family's 3401-position model. The record is from RNAcentral. Lineage: Eukaryota; Fungi; Basidiomycota; Agaricomycetes; Agaricales; Inocybaceae. RNAcentral also lists the same sequence under 1 other name.
UUGACCUCAAAUCAGGUAGGACUACCCGCUGAACUUAAGCAUAUCAAUAAGCGGAGGAAAAGAAACUAACAAGGAUUCCCCUAGUAACUGCGAGUGAAGCGGGAAGAGCUCAAAUUUGAAAUCUGGCGGCUCUUUGACCGUCCGAGUUGUAAUCUAGAGAAGUGCUACCCGUGCUGGACUGUGUACAAGUCUCCUGGAAUGGGGCAUCGUAGAGGGUGAGAAUCCCGUCUUUGACACGGACUGCCAGUGCGCCCUGGGUGUGCUCUCGAAGAGUCGAGUUGUUUGGGAAUGCAGCUCAAAAUGGGUGGUAAAUGCCAUCUAAAGCUAAAUAUUGGCGAGAGACCGAUAGCGAACAAGUACCGUGAGGGAAAGAUGAAAAGAACUUUGGAAAGAGAGUUAAACAGUACGUGAAAUUGCUGAAAGGGAAACGCUUGGAGUCAGUCGCGUUGGCCAGAAAUCAGCCUUGCUCCUGCUUGGUGUACUUUCUGGUCUUUUACGGGUCAGCAUCAAUCUUGACCGCCGGACAAAGUCUUUGGGAAUGUGGCAUCUUUUGGAUGUGUUAUAGCCCAGGGUCGCAUACGGCGGCUGGGAUUGAGGAACUCAGCACGCCCGCAAGGGAUGGGUCCUUGGACCACAAAUUUUUUUCGUGCUUAGGAUGCUGGCAUAAUGGCUUCAAUCGACCCGUC